GAUGAACGCUAGCGGCAGGCCUAAUACAUGCAAGUCAAGGGGUAGCAAUACACCGGCGGACGGGUGCGUAACGCGUACACAACGUGCCCUUGAGCGGGGGAUAGCAUUGGGAAACUGAUGGUAAGACCCCAUGGUGUUGGAGAUAGGCAUCUAUAUUCAACUAAAGGAUACACUCAAGGAUCGGUGUGCGUUUGAUUAGCUAGUUGGUAGGGUAACGGCCUACCAAGGCGACGAUCAAUAGGGGGUGUGAGAGCAUGGCCCCCCACACGGGUACUGAGACACGGACCCGACUCCUACGGGAGGCAGCAGUAAGGAAUAUUGGACAAUGGACGGAAGUCUGAUCCAGCCAUGCCGCGUGAAGGAAGAAGGCGCUCAGCGUUGUAAACUUCUUUUGGACGGGAACAAAAUGCGCCACUUGUGGUGUACUGAGGGUACCGUCAGAAUAAGCACCGGCUAACUCCGUG
This 464-nucleotide ribosomal RNA is filed under the name uncultured organism. RNAcentral's name for it is "bacterial SSU rRNA". It matches the Rfam family "Bacterial small subunit ribosomal RNA", at positions 28 to 507 of the family's 1533-position model. The record is from RNAcentral.